This 237-nucleotide ribosomal RNA is filed under the name uncultured bacterium. Its description in RNAcentral is "partial 16S ribosomal RNA". It matches the Rfam family "Bacterial small subunit ribosomal RNA", at positions 96 to 334 of the family's 1533-position model. The record is from RNAcentral.
CGGCGGACGGGUGAGUAACGCGUGGGUAACCUACCCUGUACACACGGAUAACAUACCGAAAGGUAUGCUAAUACGGGAUAAUAUAUUUGAGAGGCAUCUCUUGAAUAUCAAAGGUGAGCCAGUACAGGAUGGACCCGCGUCUGAUUAGCUAGUUGGUAAGGUAACGGCUUACCAAGGCGACGAUCAGUAGCCGACCUGAGAGGGUGAUCGGCCACAUGGAACUGAGACACGGUCCAA